UGGAGUGCUUUGUUUAACGAUAGAUCGCUUUCUGUUUUUCGAGUAUUCCAUCUCCUACAUGUCAUUGGUUACUCGUAGAAGAAUGUUAGCAUUAAUAUUUACACAUUGGUUUCUCGGUAUAUUGUAUGGAGCACUUCCAGUCGUUGAUGAAUGUGAUAAGAUACUAAAAAUUGUUAACUUUAUAACCUUGAUAUUUAUAAAUGCAUUCAUGGGGUUUGUUUACGCUCAAGUGCAGCGGAGCAUAUCAAAACAACGUAGACAAAUUAGUGAACGUUAUGCAAAGAAUAAAGACAGCCAAGAAAGAAAAAGUUCUUUCAGGAAGUUAUCGAAAACAAAGCAAGUGACCGUUACUAUGAUUUUGAUUGUGUUUACAUUUUGUGGAUGUUUGUGCCCUUACACGACAGUCGUUCGGAUUAGUGUUGUGUUUCAUGAAUUCCGCUUUUAAUAUUUUUUAUUUAUGGUGUGAAAAAUAAGGACUUGAAAUUUAACGCGAUAAAACUGGUGUAUAAGCAACGUCAAAGAAAUGUCGGAAUCUCACAAGACACCAAGAAAGACGUAUAUCAUACUAAAAAGGCUUAAUAAUUUAAAAAGGCUUAAUAAUUUAAAGUUGUAUGUGGAACAUUUUGUUUCUAGGAACAAAAAAUGAGUCCAGGUUAUCCAAAAAGGAAGGGUCUGUUAAGAUAAGAUGCUAUUUCGAACAGUUGCAAUAAAUUUGACAAACUUCUUUUAGUUUGUUUAUUUCUUGACUUUCUGAUUGCAACAUUACUUACUUACAUAUAUGUAAAACUUGAGCGCGUAAUAGCUGUUUCUUUCGACGCACCCAUUAAAACGUAUAUAAAGUCUUAACGGGUUUAAAACGCUCAAAUAAUCUCUUCCUGUCUACCAUCGCACAUAAAAUGAAUCCUUUCCUUUUAUCGUGAUGGCGGAUGACGGAUUUGUGUGACGUUUGUUGUGAGUGCGCAAUGCUAAAAUAAGAUGGUGGUGCGUAAUAGAGCGGGACUUUCGUGUGUGUGCGUGUGUGUGUCUGGGUUUGAUAAAUUGGUAGCAUGAAUUUGAGAAGUUGUUGAAGGAAAUUUUUGUCUCUGUUCUAUACUUACCAAGCUGGCUAUAGCUUGCAUCAAUAUGGAUACCAUAUAAACACGUCAUACCAUAACAGUUUUAAGAGUUCUUUUAUCGUUUUUACCAAAUGACCCAUUUUUUUUUCCAGAAGUGCUUUGCUUCAUGAUACUAGUUAGCCCCUGAAAAUUCCACGAGAAUUCGCCUGUUGCAUUAAAGUCAAUGGUGUAGAAUGGCCCGGUUUUGUCCAACAGACAGACAACGCCUAAUAAUAUAUAGAAAAAAACUUAAGCUUAUUUCAGUGGCUUGCUAAAUCGUUGUAAGUAAUACAUUUUAAUCCUAUGAAGUCGGUAAUUUUAUUACUGUUUCAUAGAAAUUCUAUUUUUGUUGACUUUCUAUAAUUCAUUUAUAAGGUGUGUUGAAGAAAAAUCCAUAGUUUAACCGUAGUCACAUCAGCAUACUACAGGCCCACUUUCUGAAAACGAAACUUAAAAUUUACGAACUUUUAACCUGUUUUGGAAUGUUUCUUGACCAGCCUAAAAAAAAUGUAUUCUCAGGCACGAAGUAAUUGAUUGGAAAUUAAUAAUUGAGAAGGCAAUUAGCAGAAAUGGAAAGAUAGACAACACUCUACUAAUGGUGCCAUUGCAACUAUUAAUGUUAUUUGAGAUCAGAAAAUGUAUAUUGCCCAGGUGACUCAGCUGCAUUCUUAACUAGUAAAGAAGAUGAAAAGUUUGCGUGCACGAAGUUAACAGUCGAUCAUAAAGCUGACAGUGUGGGAAAAAAUCUCUCUAUAGUUAUAGACUUAUUUUUCUAAAUUUUGCCAAUGGAUUUUAUAUGGAUAAAAUUUCGUUUGGAUUGAACUUUUUAGUCAUCAAAAUAUGGCUUAGAUUAAUGUUUACCAUUGUGGAUAUUGAUGUGAAACAAACAAAAUAAGUCAAGAAAUAUUGGAAAACUUUUUAAACAAAUUUAAAUGUUUUCAGGUAGUAAUAACAACUUUAUUUGUAUUGCUAUCCACUUCUUGUUGGUAAUUUCAA
Long non-coding RNA from Hydractinia symbiolongicarpus, 2090 nucleotides. RefSeq lists it as uncharacterized. The transcript is spliced from 2 exons. The record is from RefSeq and is a predicted model, not a curated record. Lineage: Eukaryota; Metazoa; Cnidaria; Hydrozoa; Anthoathecata; Hydractiniidae.